GGGGAAUAUUGCACAAUGGAGGAAACUCUGAUGCAGCGAUGCCGCGUGAGGGAAGAAGGUUUUAGGAUUGUAAACCUCUGUCUUCGGGGACGAAAAAAAGACGGUACCUGAGGAGGAAGCUCCGGCUAACUACGUGCCAGCAGCCGCGGUAAUACGUAGGGAGCGAGCGUUGUCCGGAAUUACUGGGUGUAAAGGGAGCGUAGGCGGGAUCGCAAGUCAGAUGUGAAAACUAUGGGCUUAACCCAUAAACUGCAUUUGAAACUGUGGUUCUUGAGUGAAGUAGAGGUAAGCGGAAUUCCUAGUGUAGCGGUGAAAUGCGUAGAUAUUAGGAGGAACAUCAGUGGCGAAGGCGGCUUACUGGGCUUUAACUGACGCUGAGGCUCGAAAGCGUGGGGAGCAAACAGGAUUAGAUACCCUGGUAGUCCACGCCGUAAACGAUGAUUACUAGGUGUGGGGGGACUGACCCCUUCCGUGCCGCAGCAAACGCAAUAAGUAAUCCACCUGGGGAGUACGACCGCAAGGUUGAAACUCAAAGGAAUUGACGGGGGCCCGCACAAGCAGUGGAGUAUGUGGAUUAAUUCGAAGCAACGCGAAGAACCUUACCAGGUCUUGACAUCGUAUGCAUAGCUCAGAGAUGAGUGAAAUCUCUUCGGAGACAUAUAGACAGGUGGUGCAUGGUUGUCGUCAGCUCGUGUCGUGAGAUGUUGGGUUAAGUCCCGCAACGAGCGCAACCCUUACUGUUAGUUGCUACGCAAGAGCACUCUAGCAGGACUGCCGUUGACAAAACGGAGGAAGGUGGGGAUGACGUCAAAUCAUCAUGCCCCUUAUGACCUGGGCCUCACACGUACUACAAUGGCUGUCAACAGAGGGAAGCAAAGCCGCGAGGUGGAGCGAACCCCUAAAAGCAGUCUUAGUUCGGAUUGUAGGCUGCAACCCGCCUACAUGAAGUCGGAAUUGCUAGUAAUCGCAGAUCAGCAUGCUGCGGUGAAUACGUUCCCG
RNAcentral lists this ribosomal RNA (999 nucleotides) under uncultured bacterium. RNAcentral describes it as "bacterial SSU rRNA". It matches the Rfam family "Bacterial small subunit ribosomal RNA", at positions 356 to 1376 of the family's 1533-position model. The record is from RNAcentral.